AAUAAACUAAUUAUUAUUUAAUUAAAUCAAACCUACGUGGCUGUACGAAUUACCCAUUGGAAUUACCUACUUACAACUAUUAGAAAUAAAAAUUGACCUUAAUUACUAAAGCUUUGUAAAAAGCUUGUUAACUUGAUUGGCAUUUACAAAAAAAUCUAUUACAAUUAAAGUAACUCUAAUGAGCCAUUAUUUGAACUUAACUCAUGCCUAUUAAUUAGUCACCUUAUACAAGAACAAUCCUAAUAUGUUUUACAUACAUAUAUUAUUUGUAUAACCGGAGAACACAUAAUAAGUAUCUAACUAAAAAUACAAAUAUUCUAUGUCAAAACGCAUAGAUUUUCUGGCUAUUUCACUUCAAUGUCAAGGCGUACAUCAAAGUGAUUCAAAGAGGUGUACCUGGUAUUGGAAUACAAAGAAGUGGAAGAUCAGUGGGGAGCAAUAGCAGCACACACACACAGCAACAUCAGUUCAACAACCCCGGAAUAAACCCGUAACAGUAGGAAUAGCCGAAAACCUAGGAGAUUACAACCAAGCAGAAAAACCAGGAAUUUCCAAAUCAACCGAAAACCAACAGUAAACCCAAGCAACACUACAUGAAUAUUAGUAGUACUAGAAAAUACACACAAGCGAAGCGGAGAAAGAACCAGUUGCAAGAGAAAGCAGUAGCUUCUGAUUUAUUUUAACACUCAAAGAAAAGAAACCUCAAACUUGAAUGAAACAAUAGCACUUAAGGCUGAUUUCAACAGUGAAAGAAAACUGAAAAUCUUCAGUAUGUAGCUCUCCAAAGCCUCCAACUCUAAUGUUUAGAAGUCUGUUUAUAUUUCCUUUUAAGUUUCUGAAAUUCUGCUCUCAAAAAUUCCGUCCCUUUAAGUGUCAAAUGAGUCCUCUUUUAGGCAGUCUUUUUCUUUUCUUUUUACCUCUUUCCUUUAACUUUUAAACUACUAUUACUAAUCCUUUUACCUCUUUUACUUUCUAGCCCAUAUUCUUCUAACUAUGUGACUUUUUAACUUUUUAUUAUUAACUAUUUUAUUUCUGAUUUGAAUUAAGAAAAAAGUAGUCAACGCGGACUCCACAGUCCCCCCUUUUUUCAUUGGUCAAAAAAGACCUCAUUAUUAAUCCCCUUUUACUUUUCAUAAUUAUGUCUUAUCCCCCACUAUAUUAUUUUAAUAAUACUUUAAUCUAGUGGACAAAGCACUUAAAUUAAAUAAUUGUUCAAAUUUUAAAUUCUAAUAAUACACCCAAAAUUACUAUAAAUUACUAUUAUACCCUUGUCAGCUCUAACCAAUUCACCUAAAUCAAUUAGCCAAAAUAUAGCAGCUAUAACCAAUUCUUAAUCAAAUUCAGUAACAAAUUCAAAUUAUAUGGUGAACAACAAAGAACCAACUAAAAAUUAUUUUAACUAAACAACAUUUUUAACAACAAACAUACUUUCAGAUUCAACAACAAUAACAAACAAGUAAAUUCAAAUCACUAAACUCAGAUUCAAAUUAAACUUAACAGCUCAAACAAACAAAUUCAAAUCUCUAACUCAGAUCCAAAUUUAGACUUAACACAAAAAUAAAACAGAUUCAAAUCACUAAACUCAAUAAUCAAUUGAACUUCAAAUUCAAUCUAACAAUAUUGCAACAAAGAUAAAAGAUUUAUUAAACUAAUACACUUCUAUAUUAAAACUAAAUUCAUUUAAAUGAAUAAAAAAACUUAAGAAAUAAAUAAGAAAAUGAUAACCAACUAACAAGAAAAUAAUCAAACAUAUGCUGAUGUUAGAUCCGAAAAUAUCAAACAAAAUACGAAUAAAAAUGAAACUUAAACCAACUAACCGGAUAAAAACCACGACAAACUCAAAUGGAAACAAAUCUGCCCGGAAACUUUGAAACCAAAAUAAACUCGAAUCUGCUCGAAAUCUCAACAACGACCUCGGACUGCUUACUCUUUGAACUUGAACGGAACCAAUAAUCAAUAGACAAACCUGGAGUUGGCGAAGAAGUUGAUGAUGCAACGAGAUGGGGUGCUUUGGGUUUUCGUUUGGAUGUGAUGAAUGAGUGGUCGUUGGUGGCUGGGGACGGGACAGUGGGGUCGUUAACUGGACGACGGUGGCUUAAUGAGGGGUAGAUAGUCGUGGUUGUUGGGAAAAAUGGGAAGGGCAGCCAUGUUUGACGGGCAGAUGAAGUUGGACGACAAAGACGUGGGUGGUUGACGGAAGGCGUCGUUGGUCGACUUGUUAUUUGGAUGGUUCAUGUCUGGAAAUAGUGGGGUGGUCUUUGAGAUGGGACGAACAACUGAAAGGGUCAUUUGGUUGGCGAUGAGUAGCUAUGGUCGCUUGAACAAAGCUGGUGGCGGGCACCGGCUGCGUCGAUGGUGGCGAGCUGACUGGGACGAUGAUGUGCUGGAGAUUAAUGCAGCAGCAGCUGCAUCGACGGUGGCGAGCUGACUGGGAUGACGACGUGACAGUGAUGGAGGACGACAGGCUGUGGCUAUGGAGUUUUUGUGGCUGGGUUAAGGCGAUGGUGGUGAUGGUGGUUCGACGUGGUUCAUGGGAGGAAGAUGUCGACAGAUAGUGAAGUGUUCUACGGAAAUGGUGGUUUGUCGACAAAGUGUUGGCGACGAUGGUAGUGAUUGGUUGUUUGAGCUGGUUCUGGCAGUAGGGAGGGGUCUUAGUGUUUGGUGAAGAAAAAGAGAGGCUAGGGUUUUUUGUUCUCUCUAGUUCAAAAAAUAUCUGAUGGGUUUUGAUUAUUUGGGGGUUGGACCGGAUCAAGGAUUUUGGGUUGGGUAGGGGAUGUUUUUGGGCCUAGGUUUAAUUCAAGAAUUGACACAAUUCCGAUUUUCGUUCUAUUUUUUGCUCUCCUUCUUUUACUUAAAAAUUAAAAUCCUAAAUUAAAUUAUAAACUACAUUAACUUAUCAAAAAUACUAAUUAACUCCCAACAAUAAUUAUCAUACUCAGUUAAAAACUAAUUAAAUGAAAAUUGCACAAUUUGAUAUUAUUUGCUAAAAAUGCAAAGUAUGUUAUUUUUUGUGAUAUUUUUAUUUUUGUAAAACACUUUUUAUUAUAAAAUUAAAUCCAAAAUGCAAAUGCGACAUAUUUUUUGUACUUUUUCUAUUAAUUUAAACAAAUAAACAUGCACACCCCAACACAAAUAAUUAAUAAAAUAUCAAGAAAAAUUCUCGAAAUGCACAUAAUAAAACAGACAAUUUUCGUUUUAAUUUUUUGGGAGUAAUUCAUGCGAGGGAAAAAUCACGUGCUCACAGCGAGCAUUGUAAGGCGACGGUAAGAAGAGAUAAAUAAAUGAGAGAAGUUUGUUGGUGAAAAUCCCUCGGGAUGCCACUAGUCGAAAGUGAGUCGUAAAGCUGAUACGAAGAAUUGACAUAAACAUGCCCGACUUCAUAGGUCAUAAGAAUGGUAAAAGGAAGGAUUAGAUUAGUUUUAUAGAUCAGGCCGUUGAGUCUGUUGAGUCCAAAAUGCAUGCCAUGAUCAUUAAGGCUAGUAAUUAGAAAAAAAAAGAGAAAAUAGAGAAUAAAGAAAAAGAAAUAAAAACAUUUCCUUCUGUCCUUCAGACAGGGGAAUUUCUUGUUAAUAGUUUCUCUUUGCAUCAUUGUGCCCUUCACUUUGACUCAGUCCUAUCAAAAUAAGUAAGAAAAGAUUUCAAAAGAUGCAACCAUCUUUUCAGUUGCAUAAAGUAAAUUUGGCCAGCACACUCAGUUGUUACUUUCAACAUGCCUCGAGGAUCAUGCAAAAGGUCCCCCCAAAAGACUCUUGUCAGCCUGCUUGGCAUAGGCAAAGAUAACUUGUGAUUUUCUCUGACAGACAAAAUGCUUAAAAGUAGGAAGUCAUUCAAGAUAUCAGAAAAGUCGCCUAGUAAAGAUCACCAAAUGAAAUAAGGCUGAUUGAGCCACAAAUACAAAUGGUACUAGGCGUGAAACAAUCAGAGUUGAUGCAAAGCAAAAGUCUCUUGAAAUCGAUUCAAGCUCAUUGAGCAAAAGCCAAGCUACCUAGGACUCAAGGCCACAAACCGACCACCACUUUUAAAAGUAACGAACUUUUAUUUGUUUGAAAUAGUACCAAAGCAGUGGAAGGAUAGUUGAAAAAGUGAAAGAGAAAAGAAAAAAAAAGAACCAACAAAGGAAAGUUUUUCAAAUCUUUGCCUUUAUUUUUUUGCUGGUGUGCAUAAAUUUUGCCAUUGCCCUUCAUAUAUUUUCUCCAAGGAUAAAAGGUCCUAGUUUUAUGGAUUUUCCUUCCAAUAAAAAUCUUUGUCUGAUGAAUAUUUCUCCUAAGAUAACAAAAAAAUAGAAAUCUUAGUGUGAUGAUUCCUUUUUCUAAGAUAGAAAACCUAGUCCGAUGAAUCUUUCUCCUAGGAUAAACGUCUUAGUCUGAUGAAAUUUUCUCUAGGAUAAAAAUCUUAAUCUGAUGAAACUUUCUCCUGAGAUAGAAGACCUAGUCUGAUGAACUUUUUCAUAGGAUAGAAAUCUUAGUCUGAUGAAUUUUUCUCCUAAGAUACAAAAAAAAGAAAGAAGAAAAGAGCCUUAGUCAGAUGAACUUUCUCCUAGGAUGAAAAUCUUAGUCUGAUGAAUCUAUCUCCUGAGAUUAAACCUACUCUGAUGAAUUUUCUCCUAGGAUAAUAAUUGCUUUAUUAAAACAAUGGGGAAGUUUGGAUUUGAAAAAAGGGGCCAAUUUUUAGUUUUUUUAAGUUAUCAAUGUUUAGUUUUCUUGAAAUCAGGGGCCCCGCCUAGAGAAUAGGAUCAGUCUUUACUUUAGUCAAGCUUAGUUUAUAGUUUUCCGCAAGCUCAAUCACUUUUAGGUGACUCACAUCCUAGUCGAGUCAUUAAUUUUUCUCUCAUCAUGGCAUCUUUCAUCAACAGCCUAGGUGACUUAUGUUUUGCUAAUAACUCUCAAAUCUUCCUAGUGCAAACUGAGGCAGAAAAGUUUCUUUUGUUUUGUCUGUUUUGUUGUAGUAGUAGGCACCCACCUAGAGAACAAGGGAAUUCGUUUUGGAAUUAUUUUAAGUUUCAAGUCAGUAGCAGGCGCCUACUUGGAGAACGAGGGAAGUCAUUUCAGAAGUCAAUUCAAGUUAGAAGUAACGGAAGCUUGCCUAAAAAACGCGAGUCAACAGUUCGAGAUUACCAAAAAGAAGUCUCAAUCAAGAACAAAAGAAAACGAAAAUAAAGUGAAUCCAAAGUGCAUUAGCGGAGAAAAGAUGAGGACUGCUGAAGAUAUAAUUGAAGUCACAAGCUCCGGGUGUCCCAUUUUGAUAUGAAAAAGUUGAAGAAGAUUGAACCACCACCUGCAGCUAACAAUCAUCAAGAUUCGAUCAGAGUCCGCAUGAAGAAACAACCAAGACUAAAGAUCAAGCUUUAGAAGACUCAUAGAUAGGAAUCUUGUAACUCAUAGUAGAUAGGCUUAGUUAGUCUUUUUCAUUUUGAUUUUGAUGUAAUAACGGAAUCGUGGAUCGGAACCUCGACGACACCUCAAUCGGCUCUCCACCUCGGUAUACUCUAUCACUCUUCCUAAUUCUGAAUUACACGUGGCCUGAUUCCUUUAUAGAUAAGGAUAUGUAGGCAGCUAAGAUAACAGGGCUCGGUGACAUUCUCUUAGUUUUUUAUCUGUUCUCUAAACAAGGGUCAAUUCAAAAAACCUGUCUCGUCGUUCUUUGUCUGAAAACUCUUCGCAUUUCGACCAAAGAGGGGCAACCGUAAUUCAUGUAAUUUUUGACUCUCCCCAAUAUUUUAUACAUCUUAGUGUAACCAUUUAAUUUAGGAUUAAUAUCGCUAUUCUAAAUAGUGUUGACUCUUUUAAUUUAUUUUCAUCACGAAAAAAUAAAAAAAUUACAAAAAUAUUUUUUUUAUCUUUAGGUUAAAGUAAAUUAGUAGAUUUAUAUAUAUAGUAUUAUAACAUUUGAAAAUAUGAAAAACAAAUUUAGUUUCACUAGUAGUAUUUAGUUUUAUAAUAGUUUAUUUUAAUUUAGAGUGAUUUUUAUAUUUUUGUAGAUACAUUAUAUAAUUUGGUCUUUUUAGCCUAAGUUCAAACCCAAAGACAUGGUCUAAUCCAAUUACCCUUAGCCAUUUCUUCCCAACUCAUUAAUCCAUUUAAAUGCAAGAUUUAAUCCUAGCCAUCUAUUUUCUUCUAAUGCAAUGGUCAUCAUCCCUUCCCACAUAAUGUUAAAAUACCCAAUUAGAGAAACUCUACUCUAGUUUUUAAUUCCUAGAGCCUAAGACCCUAGAACCUAGGAAUGCCUUCAGCAGUUUCCUUUCUUAUUCAGUUCACCCAAAAUUCCAAAAAGAGGACCGUGACGACCCAAAGGGUCAUCACCGUAAUUCUCCCUUUUUUUGUGCGUAUGAGGCUUUGAAAACCCCUUAUUUGGUCGCCUCAAUUUGCGUGCGCAUUUCGGGCGCGAUGCCGUAAAAUUUUUAUGUGGAAAUAUUUGAAUUAUGUGUUAAAAACUAUGAAUUUUGAUAAUAAUAUUGCUAUAGUUGACCUUUGUCAACGUUUUUGGUAAACAGACCCGCACCCGUGAUGGGACGGUCCCAGAGGGUCUAUAAGGAAAUUUAGGACCCGGGCGUAUUCCAGGAAUCAAAAUCGGAGGUCCCAGGCCCGAGUACGGAGUUUUUCUGUGAAAUUGUUUUCUUCAAAAAAUGCUUAAGGAAAAAUGAAAAUGAAAAUUGAUCAAAAGUGAUAGUAUCGGGCUCGUAUUAUGGUUUCAACGGCCGGUACAAGUCUUAAAUGAGCGUUAAGCGCUAUCUGUAAAGUUUGGUUGAAAAUGGACUUUGUUUGACGUGUUUCAGACUAAAAAUAGAAAAUUUGAAAGUUUGAACUUUGACAUGAGAAUCAUGAGUUUUAAAGGUUGAUUCUUUGGAUUUUAUGUUAUUUUGGCAAUUUGAUCGCACGAGUAAAUCCGUAGGAUGCUUUUGAGGUGGGGUGCAUGUUUGGGUUGGAGCCCCUAGGGCUCGGGUGUGUUUCGGAUAGGUGUUAGGCUCAUUUGAAGCAUUUUUGACUGCUGGUAUCUGUAGUCUUCGCACUUGCGAAUACUUAUUCGCAAAUGCGAACUUCCCCCUUUUGCCUGCUUUUUUGCAAAUGCAAGGAAAGAACUCGCAAUUGCGAACCUCCCUUGUUUGUCCAGACUUCGUAAAUGCAAAGUUUUUCUUGCAAAUGCGAUCAUUCCCCUUUGCAUCCAGACUUCGCAAAUGCGAAGUCAACCUCGCAAAUGUGAACAAUCUCUCGCAAAUGCGAGAUUUCCUUAUUUUUUUGCCAGUUCGCAAAUGCGAAGUCAAUAUCGCAUUUACGACAUCUGCAAUUGUGCAACUUAUACAUAGCCUAUUUCAAACUUCAUUUUUCAUAUUUUCAAAACCCAAACCUCUAUUGGGGAUUUUCUCUCGACUCUUUCUCUCCCAAAUCACUUGUAAGUCAACGUUUACUCAAUUUCUUCAAACUUUGACAUCUUUUAUCAUGAUUUUAGCUUAAAAUCAAAGCUUUCAAUGGGUAAAAAUGGGGAUUUGGGGUAUAACCUAGGAUUUUAUCAUGAUUUAAGCUUAUAAUCAAAGCUUUCAAUGGGUAAAAAUGGGAUUUGGGGUAGAACCUAGGUUUUCAUAAAAUUGGGGAUUUGGACCUCAAUUUGGGAUCUGAUUUCAAAACAAAUUGCAUAUAUGAACUCAUGGGGGAAUGGGUAACCAGGUUUUGGUUCGAACCUCAAGUUUUGACCAUGUGGGUCCGAGGACAUUUUGGAAAUUUUUGGGUAAAACUUUUGGAAUUUCAUUCUUAUGCAUUCAAAUUGAUUUAACUAGCAUUUGUUGAUACAUUUGAGUAAAUUAUGGUUAGAUUCGACCAGUUUUGAGGCGAAUUCGAGGGGUAAAGCUAUUCUAAUGGCGUGAGUUUAUGAGUAAAUUGUGGGUUUGAUUCGACCGGUUUUGAGGUGAAUUCGAGGGGUAAAGCUAUUAUAGAGGCGUGAGUUGACUUGGAAGCUUUCGAGGUAAGUGUUUGAUCUAACUUUGGCUUGAGGGAAUGUGAUUAGGUUGUUAUUUGCUAUGUGCUACGUGGAGUUGGUGUAUAGGUAUGGUGAUGGUUUCCUAUGCGCCCGAGUCAAGCAUGAACGUGGUGUCAUAUUUGUCAUUAAAAUUUGCGAAAGAAGUGAAAAAUUGUGAUAAUUACUUGUUACAAGAACUAUGAAGUGAAAGUUGAGAAGUAAAUGAACUAAAGAGGAAUUUUUGGUACUUUUCCCUUGCCGGGAUUUCUUGUUGAUCUGUUUUCCCUUGCCGGGACCUAUUGUUGAGUUGUAUUCCCUUGCCGGGAUUUAUUGUUGAAUUAUUCUACCUUGCUGAGAUAGUUAGUUUUGAUAUAUAUUUCCUUUGUCGUUUGGUUGUGACCAUUGAUUGGGUGAGGAAGAGAGAGUAAAAGCACGAAGGGUGAUGUCGUNNNNNNNNNNNNNNNNNNNNNNNNNNNNNNNNNNNNNNNNNNNNNNNNNNNNNNNNNNNNNNNNNNNNNNNNNNNNNNNNNNNNNNNNNNNNNNNNNNNNNNNNNNNNNNNNNNNNNNNNNNNNNNNNNNNNNNNNNNNNNNNNNNNNNNNNNNNNNNNNNNNNNNNNNNNNNNNNNNNNNNNNNNNNNNNNNNNNNNNNGAAUGCCGUGCAUUAUAUUUGACAGUUUUGGUGAGGAAUGAGAGUAAAAGCACGUAGGCUGAUGCCGUGCGGUUGUUGAUUCAUUGACUUUAUUAUUUAAUUAUUAUUUAUUCAGUUCCAUCUCUUGAUUGUAGAAGUUAUAAUUGAACUGCUACGAAUGAGAGUAAAAGCACGAAGGGUGAUGCCGUGCAGUUGUUGAUUAAUUGACUUUCUUAUUUAAUUAUUAUUUAUUCAGUUCCAUCUCCUGUUUGUAGAAGUUAUAAUUGAACUGCUACUACCCCAGCAUGUCCCUUUCCCUUUUAUUUGUUUAAAUUCCUUUUCUCUUUCUGUUAUUGCAUAUAUCUGUACAGGUUGUUUGUGGUAGGUUUGGUUUAGCCUCGUCACUACCUCACCGAGGUUAGGAAGGGCACUUACCAACACAUGGGGUUGGUUGUGCUGAUACUAUGCUUUUGUGCCUUUUAUGCACAGGUCAGGACACAACCUACGGACCGCAGCAAUAGUUAGGGGCGAUCCUUCAGUCCAGAGACUCUAAGGUAGUUCGCUGGCGUUCGCAGGCCCCAAGUAUCCUCUAUCUAUUUCUCUUAGUUUGUUUAAUUGUAUCAAACAGACAUGUUAUGUAUUACUUUCAGAUUGUUGUUUUUAGUACUCUUUUAGUCGUUUGUGAGCAGUGACACCAGAUACUGGGUAGAAGUAUGUUAUUAAUUUUCCGCAUUAUUGUCAUUUCUAAUAUUGCUAAUAGUCUUCCGUGUGUUUUAAUUAAUUAUUUCAGUAUCUUAUUUGCUUUAGAUUAAAGUUAUUGUGAAAAGGAUUAAAAAUGGGUUGGAUUGCCUAGCUUCGACAGUUGGCGCCAUCACAGCUCCCGAUUGUGGUAAAUUCAGGUCGUGACAAGUUGGUAUAAGAGCACUAGGUUACUUGGGUCUCACAACUCACGGACAAGCUCGGUAGAGUCUUAGGGAUCGGUACAGAGACGUUUGUAUUUAUCCCCUAUAGGCUACAGAGUUAGGAAAAGUUUCACUUUGUUCAUUCUUGUUGUGCGAUUCUGUUUCUCAAAUAUUGAUUGUCGUUCUACUCCGUUCCUUCGCGGGAUGGAGAGAACACGUGCGUCUUCUUCUUCCGCGCAGCACCCCGAGCCCCCAGCAGCAGCUCCCACGAGGGGCAAGGGCCGAGGCAUUCUACUCUGUUCUUUUGCAGGUGGCGAUAACACAUGCAUCUUCUUCUUUCGCGCAGCAGCCCGAGCCCCCAGCAGCAGCUCCCGCGAGGGGCAGGGGCCGAGGCCGUGCCAGAGGCUGUGGCAGGGGCAGAGCUCAGCCCCAGGCAGCAGUUCCAGAGGUGGAGCCUCAUAUUGACUUUGAUGAGGACGUUCCAGCUCCCCCAGCUCCAGUGGGCCCAGCUCAGGUCCCAGGAGGGGUGAUGUUUCCCCCGAAUCUUCAGAAUGCUCUUGUCCGCAUAGCAGGCUUUAUGAUUGGGUCUGCAGGAUGGCAUCCCGUUAGUUCCACAGUGGGCCAAUAUCAGAUCCCAGGAGAAGUGAUGUUUUCUUCGGAUCUUCAGGAUGCUCUUGUUCGCAUAGCAGGCUUUAUGGACAGUGUCGCUAGAUCGGGAUCGCUGCCAGUAGCACCAACCACUUCUCAUGUUGGAGGAGGGGUUCAGACUCCUGCUACACGUACUCCGGAGUAGGUAGCUCGCUCCCUAGACUCAAGUUCCAUUGGUUCAUCCCGCAGUGGCAGCUUAGAUAGGCAUUACAGCUCAUGCCGGAGAUGGGAUGGCUAUGUCUUUGGAUGCUUUGUGGAGACUUGAUCGAUUUUCCAAGAUUGUCACUACUACUUUUAGCGGUGCUUCAUCAGAGGAUCCCCAGGAUUUUCUAUACAGUUGCCAUGAGAUCCUCAGGACUAUGGGGAUAGUGGAGACCAAUGGGCUCGAUUUUUGCACUUUCAGGCUUGUGGGAUCCGCCAAGUCUUGGUUGAGAGAUUAUUCCAUAUCUAGACCAUAAGGGUCCCCGGCUUUGACAUGGGAUCAGUUUGCAGAGUUAUUUUUGGAGAAGUUUCUCCCUGUCACUUAGCGGGAGGCACUUUGCAGGCAGUUUGAGCGCCUUCACCAGGGCUACAUGACAGUUACAUGGUAUGAGAUUAGAUUUGUUGACUUGGCACGCCAUGCAGUAGUGAUACUCUCUACAGAACGAGAGAGGGUCCGGAGGUUUAUUGAUGGAUUGAUUCAGCCCAUUCGCCUUCAGAUAGCUGUGGGAGUUGGCAGUGAUAUUACUUUUCAGGAGUCGGCCAAUGCGGCCUGCCGAGUAGAGAUGGCAUUAGCUCGAGGAGGUAGUCACGGUUCAGACAAGAGGCCUCGACAUUCUAGAAGAUUUAGUGGUACCACAUCUGGAGGUAGGUAUUUCCAUGAUCGAGGCCAUCCCCCGCGACCUUUCCAGUAGGCACUUUAGGUUUCUCAUGGUACACCAGGAUGUGGUGGUCAUCAGCAGUAUUAUUCAGAUUAGCAGUCUUUCAGCGCACCACCAGCCCUCAACAGUGCACCGCUACUUCAGAGCUUCAGAGGAGGACAUAUUGGUCGACAGGGCCAGCAGUCUCAGCCGCCUAGGGCAUGUUAUGGUUGUUGUGACAUAGGUCAUGUUGUCAGAUUUUUCCCUUGAUGCUCGAGUAGUUCUCAGAAGCAGGGUCCUCGCCCUACGAUUCAGGUAGUAGGUGAUCCUCAAGUCGCCCAACCAGCUAGAUGCUGAGGUAGGUAUCAUAGAGGUGGAGGGAGAGAUCGUAGAGAUGGAGCCCGCACAGCCAGAGGUAGGGGUCAGCCCGCAGUAGAUCGUCCCAGAGAUGCAGUUCAGGGAGGUGGGGGCCAGCCCCGUUGUUAUUCAUUGCCAGCCAAGCCGGAGGUCGAGUAAUCUAAUGAUGUGAUUAGAGGUACUAUACUGGUCUGUGAUAGGGGUGCUUCAGUAUUAUUAGAUCUGAGAUCUACUUAUUCUUAUGUGUCAUCCUAUUUGGAACCCUAUUUUAUCAUGCCUAGUAAGGCUCUGGGUAUUCCUGUAUAUGUGUCCACACUGGUAGUGAUUCUAUAGUGGUUGACCGAGUGCAUCGUUCUUGUGUUGUGAUAUUUGAGGGUCUUGAGACCCUUGUAGACUUAUUUCUUUUAGACAUGGUGGACUUCGAUGUUAUAUAAGGGAUGGAUUGGUUGUCCCCGUAUCAUGCUAUCUUGGAUUGUCACGCCAAGACCGUGACUUUGGCCUUGCCCAAUUUGCCCAUACUUGAGUGGAGAGGGACCCCAGGUCAUGCCACCCGUAGUGUUAUUUCGUAUGUCAAGGCUCAACGUAUGGUUGAGAAGGGGUGUUAGCAUAUUUGGCAUAUGGUCGUGAAUCCAGUGCAGAGGUUCCAUCUAUCGAUUCUGUCCCUAUUGUUUGGGAGUUCCCCGAGGUUUUUCCUUCAGACCUGCCUGGUAUACUGCCCGACAGGGAUAUUGAUUUCUGUAUUGAUCUGGCUCCUGGCACUCAGCCUAUUUUUAUUCCGCCGUAUCGCAUGGCCCCGCCAGAGUUGAAAGAUUUGAAGGAGCAGCUUCAAGACUUGCUUGAUAAGGCUUUCAUUAGACCCAGUGUAUCACCUUGGGGUGCACCAGUGUUGUUUGUGAAGAAAAUGGACGGGUCGAUGAGGAUGUGCAUUGAUUACUGACAGUUGAACAAGGUGACGAUAAAGAACAAGUAUCCACUGCCGAGGAUUGACGAUUUGUUUGACCAGCUCUAGGGUGUCAAGGUGUUCUCGAAGAUAGAUUUGAGGUCUGGUUAUCAUCAGCUAUGGAUUAGGGCGUCUGAUGUCCCUAAGACAUUAUUUCGUACUAGGUAUGGGCAUUAUGAGUUUUUGGUCAUGUCGUUUGGGUUGACCAAUGCCCCGGAAGCAUUCAUGGAGUUGAUGAACCGAGUGUUCAGGCCUUNNNNNNNNNNNNNNNNNNNNNNNNNNNNNNNNNNNNNNNNNNNNNNNNNNNNNNNNNNNNNNNNNNNNNNNNNNNNNNNNNNCCGAGUGUUCAGGCCUUACUUGGAUUUAUUUGUGAUUGUAUUCAUUGAUGAUAUCUUGGUAUACUCCCGCAGUCAGGAGGAGCAUGAGCUGCACCUCAGAAUGUUUCCUCAGACUGUGAAGGAUAGCCAGUUGUACGCCAAGUUCUUAAAGUGCGAAUUUUGUUUGAGUUCAGUCGCAUUCCUGGGUCAUGUCGUAUCAGCAUAGUGUAUUCAGGUAGACCUGGAGAAGAUAGAGGCAGUCAAGAACCAGCCUCGACCACCUUCAGCUACAUAGAUUUAGAGCUUCUUGGGAUUAGCUGGUUAUUACAGACGUUUUGUGGAGGGGUUUUCAUCCAUCCCAGCCCCGAUGACUAGAUUGACCCAGAAAGGUGCCUAGUUCACGUGGUAUGAUGAGUGCGAGGCGAGCUUCCAUAAGCUUAAGACAGCUCUGACUACAACACCGGUAUUGGUCUUGCCCACCGGAUCUGGGCCUUAUACUGUAUAUUGUGAUGCUUCCCGCAUCGGACUUGGCGCAGUGUUGAUGGCUCAAGACAUCUCUGACUACGGCACCCGUAUUAGUUUUGCCUACGGUAUCCGGGCCUUAUGCUGUAUAUUGUGAUACUUCCCGCAUUGGACUUGGCGCAGUGUUGAUGCAGAAUGGCAAGGUCAUAGCAUAUGGUUCGAGGCAGUUGAAGAUCCACGAGAAGAAUUAUCCAGUUCAUGACCUAAAGUUGGCAGCCAUUGUUCAUGCAUGAAGAUCUGGAGGCAUUAUUUGUAUGGUGCUACGUGUGACGUGUACAAGAAUCACAAGAGCCUUCAGUACUUGUUCAAGCAGAAAGAGUUAAAUUUGAGACAACGGAGGUGGUUGGAGUUGUUAAAAGGUUAUUAUGUAUAUAUUUUAUACCACCCAGGGAAGGCCAAUGUGGUGGCCGAUGCAUUGAGUAGAAAGUCCGCCAGCAUGGGUAGUCUUGCAUAUAUUUCGGUCAGCCAGAGACCGCUUGCCUUGGAUGUUCAGGCCUUGGCCUAUAGAUUUGUGAGAUUAGAUAUUUCUGAGCCUAGCCGGGUAUUAGAUUGCAUGGUUUCUCGCUCGUCAUUGAUGGAUCGUAUCCGGGAGCGACAGUUUGAUGAUCCCCAUUUGUAUGUCCUGAGAGACACGGUGCAGAGGGGAGGUGCCAAGGAGAUGACUCUGGGAGAUGAUGUAAUAUUGAGGUUGCAGGGGAGAGUCGGUGUGCCUACCAUUGAUGGUAUUCGAGAAUCAAUCUGGCGCCGUGAAGUUGUAUCAGGAUUUGAGACAGAAUUAUUGGUGGCAUAAAAUGAAGAGAGACAUUGUUGCAUAUGUGGCUCGUUGUCUAAAUUGUCAGCAGGUUAUCAGAGGCCCGGUGGGUUAUUUCAGAGGAUUGAGCUUCCCCAAUGGAAGUGGGAGAGAAUCACCAUGGAUUUUGUUACUGGUCUUCCGAUGACUCGGAAGAAGUUUGAUGUUAUAUGGGUUAUUGUUGAUAGGCUGACUAAGUUAGCGCAUUUCAUCCCAAUUGCCACCACUUAUUCAUCCAAGAGGUAUACAGAGAUUUAUAUCAGGGAGAUCGUUCGCUCUACAUUGGUUAUUGUUGAUAAGCUGACUAAGUCAGCCAUUUCAUCCCAGCUGCCACCGCCUAUUCAUCCGAGAGGUAUGCUGAGUUUGUAUCAGGGAGAUCGUUCGCCUUCAUGCGGUGCCCAUAUCUAUUAUUUCGGAUUGGGGUCCGCAGUUUACCUCGCAUUUCUGGAGAGAGGUAUAGCAUUAGUUGGGAACCAGGUCCAUUUGAGUAUAGCAUUUCACCCUAGAUGGACGGUCAGUUCGAGAGGACUAUUCCGAUCUUGAGGAUAUACUCCGAGCCUGCGUUAUUGAUUUUGGAGGCUCAUGGGACCAGUUCUUGCCUUUAGUCGAGUUUGCCUACAACAACAGCUACCAGUCCAGUAUUCAGAUGGCCCCGCAUGAGACUUUGUAUGGUAGACACUGUCGCUCCCCAGUCGGAUGGAUUGCGCCGGGAGAGGAUCGGUUAUUGGGUACAGAUUUGGUGCAGGAGGCCUUGGAUAAGGUCAAGUUCAUUCAGGACAUACUUUGGUUAGCUCAGUCUAGGUAGAAGAGUUUUGCAGAUCAUAAGGUCAGGGAUGUUUCUUUCUUUGUUGGUGAGCGGGUAUUGCUCCGUGUAUCACCUAUGAAGGGCGUGAUGAGGUUCAGGAAGAAGGGCAAGCUUAGCCCUAGGCAUAUUGGCCCAUUUGAGACUCUUGACCAUGUUGGGAAUGUGGCUUAUAGACUUGCAUUGCCUUCUAGUUUGUCAGGUGUGCACCUGGGUUUUCAUGUAUCCAUGCUUCAGAAGUAUCAUGGUGAUCGCACCCACAUGCUAGAUUUUAGUAAUGUCCAAUUGGACAAGGAUUUGUUGUCACACCUCUUUUUUUUACACACCUUACCCUGAAGGAUAAUGCAUAAGGGAGUUUUUCCAUUUAAAGUGACAUUAUUCGCAUCGAGAUUAUUUUUUUGUUCAUCGUCGCCACUUGGGAAAGGUUGGCUUUUGGUGUACCAAGUCACUGGUUUUUUCUUGAAUCCCAAAGCGAGGAAAAUUUCAACUUCCUAUUGGAGUCUGCGAACCAAAAAUUCUGAAUAAGGAAUUUUAUUAACCCGAGGGAAGAUGUUAGGCACCCUCAGAUCUCGUGGUUCUAGCACGGUCGCUUAAAUCAUUGUAUUCUAUUAAAACCUUAUUUUAAAGCAUGCUAACUUAUACGCCUUUUAUUUAUAAACCGCUUUUAUCUCUAUUUAUUUUUAAUAGACUUGCGACGUCGUGAAAACGCGUCUCUGACCAUAUCUCUAUCAAGGCACACGUAGUCAUUGACACAUUUUGAUUUCGUCGAGAUUUGAAUUUGGGUCGCAAUCAAUGCACACCCGAGUUUAAGAAGGUAUUUUAGUUAAACGCGCCUAAAGAGUCUAGCGUAUUGUUAUUUUUGGGAAGGCCGUGAAAUUCACUAAACGGCCCUCCCAAAUUCUAAUUGUUUUAUAUACCCAUUAUUGAGGGCCCCGCCUUUUGUAUUUUUAUUUGGCGAGGCGCAUUUCAUCUUUAUUUUAAAAGGGCCAGCCUAAAAGCAACUAGAAUUAUCUACUUAAUUUGUCUCUAAAAUAAAGGAAAAAGCCUUAAUUAAUUAUGAACUUCAAAUCUAAUUAAACCGUGACCAUUCAAGUCUUGGGCUUAUAGGGCCCAAAUUAUUUAGAACAUGUGCAGACCCCAACUCUCAAUGCCACCACUGCUGGGAAUAGAAAUAGCCCAGAUCGGAUACUGGGUCCAUUCAAGGGGAUCCAAGGAUCGAGUCCCUAAGGCUGCAGGCCAAUGAUUGUUUGUACAUCAGUUGUUUUUCAACUCCCUUGAGAUUUUACAACAUAGCAAUGUAAUACACCAACUUAACUUGUCCAAGUUAACUACUCUCCCUCAUACAGAUAUGCAUAGUAAUGACUCAAUGAAUGCUAAUUUCGGUUUCCAGUUCCAUUUUUUAUCUAGCCAAAUUGAUUUUGUCCUUAUGAGAGCUUGUGUUUUAUCAUUUGAGAAUGGACAUGAUGAGAUUCAAUUUUGACUCUAACUUUCAAAUUGAAGUUGUGAUACACACAUCGGUUCCCUAAUCAAUGAGAAAAUUCAUAAGACUAACUAUUUUCAAAAACUAUAUUUGGAUGAAAAAAACUUACAAAUUCUUGAAGACAUCUAACAAGAAGUUGACUAUAACUAAUGAAUUACCUUAUUAGCCUAAUAGGAAAUUAAUUAUAACUAUUACUUAACACAUAUAUGAAUCAACUAAUGAUGAACUAGCUACAAAUGAAACUUCAAACGAACUAAUUGAAUCCAAGAGAUAGCAGUUCGCAGUCCUAUUUGUACGACCUAAGAUCAAUCCCAUACACAAAGGACAUGAAAUGUCGAACAAGAAAACUGUUUACACAUUAAAAUCAUACAAAGAACAGGGGAGUUCAGAGAUAAACUUCAAAUAACCCUUUUACUUUGUUCCCAUGACUUGAGAGGUUUAGAGCAUGUGCCUAGAAACGCAAAUAACAAGGGAGAAAACAGAGGUCAGUUAGGAAGCAACAGUAUACAGCAGCAAGCGUGCAGUUUCCAGCAAUAAGAGUAGGAGAAAACACAAUUAGUGUAAAAAUCGACCAAAUACACUUGAACAAAUCCAACCAUUUAGCAAUUGCUCCCAGAAAUCCAAUAUAGAUAGCAACUAAACCACCAAUUAAUUCAAUCCAAUCCGAUCUGAAUCAAAUUGAUUCUAAACACAGUCAGAUUUUAGAUGCAGAACAGAACUAGAGAUUUUCCAAUUGUUUCUGAACCUAAAAGAGCUAAGGAGUUGAAUUCCUAGCUCAAAAUUUGAAAGUGAUCUAAGAAGACGCAAUGAAACAGAAAUUUUUUGUUGUUUUCUGAUUUUUUUGUAUAGUUUUUUUGUAUUUUCUGUCUAUCUAAAUGCUGAAGCUAAUUUAAAAGCCAAAAUGAAAGAACAAUCAGGUUUUUAUGGUUUUUUUGAGAUGAAAAUUCCAAGACCUCUUUAACAAGGCAUUGGAUGCCUUUAUAUAGCCGAGAAUGAGGGUAAAGGGUCAGAUUUUGAUUUUCUUAUUUAGUCCCUGGUUAUUUUCACUUUAACCCCUAAUUUUCUAACUUGUUCCUCAAGUUACUGCCUUAGUUCUAUUGAAAUGUGCACUAAAGCUCUAUUCUAGGAGCUUCUAGGAUGCCUUUUUAGCCCCAAAAUUCCUAGUCAACCAUUUUCUUGUUUUUAAAAUUACCAAAUCUCAAAAUACUACCCUUUUUCAUCCCCAAAGUACCCUUUAAUAGUCUGAAAAUUACAGACCUUAAUUAACUUAACCCAAACCCUUUUAACCCCUGUUAAAAAUUAACUAAGGUUAUCUACUAAAGAAUUAAAAAACUAUAUCCAAACUUGAAUCUAAUUAGACUAACAAAGAUUAACAUUAGCAAUCAGAGAAAUUGUUGACUGGCAUUUAAAGUGACCUUAAGAACUGAAGUUAUCUAAAAUGAACUUAGCGACUGAAAUUAAUCAACCUAAACGUAUUAGAACUAAAUUAAUUAAAACUUUAAUCAAAAGAAGAGAAAAAGAGAAAUCAGAACACAAAACCUAAAUAAAAUUAUGCACAUGCUAAUCUUGACAAAAAAAUUGACUAUCGUUUGAGACAAACUAAAAUUGAACAAACGAAUCAGAGAAAAACUAAUCACACAAUAAAAUUUAGAAAUAGAAACUACAAUGAUUCAACUAAAGGAAGUAGAGCCACAAGACAGGAUUAACAUGCGAACUUGAGAAUUAAGCCGCAUCAUUAGAAGUAAUUAACUAAACAAGCGAGAGAAGAAAGAACACAAAGAAACUAAACAAAAAUUAAAGAAAAACUCAAUCAACCUAUGUCCGGCUUAUUGACUAGAAGAAAGAACAAAAAAAGAAAAGAAACUAAACCUAAAAAUUAAUAGAAAACUUACUGGGAAACCAUGCAACCUGGGAAAAUUCCUCUACUAUGUCGAUUCAGCGUGAACCCUAGAUUGGAAGUUCGUCUAGCUUCUAUUGAUUUUGGAGGUUUUUGGCUUGGGAUUCGUAAUGAGGAAGUCCAAGAGAUUGUGGGGUAUAAAAUUUGAGCCAGUUUGGAUGGGUUUGUAUUUUGAACGAGAAUUUCAAAUUGAGAUUCGACCAGUUGGGUUAUGUUUCGAAGAAAACUAUUGCUAAGAUUAGAAAGAGGAGGUUGAGGAGAGUGGGUGGUGUUAUUUUGGUUGAGUUUGGUGGUGGCGUCGUCGGGUUUUGGGGAGAGGUGUGAUGGCGGGGGGUUAGGGUUUGGGAGGUCUCAAAAGAGGGGUGUUUGAGAGAGAUGAGUUGAGAGGGGGGGUGUCUUGGUUCGGACAAUUAUAUAGUAUGGAGUGAGGGCUUCUGGGCCGUUGAUCUGAGAUACCUAGACGGUUAAGAUCUAUCCACGACGAAACGGUGUCAUUUUUAGGUUCUUUGAUUUGGUCCAAACGAAAUUAAACUGUGGCCCAAUCUUGGUCUCUAGACAACCCCUUUCUUUCUUUGUUUUUUAAUUUACUUCUUUUUUUAAAUUGUAAAAGAAAUGCAAGGAAUUAAAAAUAAACCCAAUUUGAUUCUAAAAUUAAGCUAGCUAAUUUGUAAAAUUAUUUUAAAAAUGAUUUUGAGGCCAAUUAGAUGAUUAAUAACUAAAAAUGCAAGAAAAGGCUAGUUUUGUUAUUUUCUUAUUUUAAUGAUACUAAUUCAACUAAUAAGCUAAAAUUAAACUCCUAAAAUAUCAAGUACUAUUUUUGUAUUUUUCAAUAAUUAUGGCAAUCUAACAAAAAAUGCAAUUAAAAGACGAAAUUGAACAAUUAAUUCAAAAUAUCAAGAUACUAUUUUUUUUUGUAUUUUUCAAUAGUUAUGGCAAUCAAACACAAUGCAAAUAAAACAUGAAAUUGAACAAUUAAUCCCUAAAGAAUAAAAACUCCAAAUUAAAUGAGUUUAUAGGAGUAAUUAAAGCACGGCAAAAAUCACGUGCUCACAGCUGCCCAUCUUUGCUCGAAGACAUGAAGGGUUUUCGGGCAAAGAUAAAUGAGCAACCAUGAGAUUUUUGCCUAUUUAGUACUCCAUAGGAAGCAUUUUGAAAACCGUCUGACCGAACCUCGCUUCAAAGGUUGCCUACAUAUCCUUGGCUGUAAAGGAAUCAGGUUAGUGUAGUUAUGGAGUGUUUGGUAGCAGGGAAUACCAAAAGCUGUGAUUUUACUGCAGUUGCUGCUGCUACUGGUUGCUGACCUCCUUAUUACACCAAAGGAAAAUCAAAGCUAAGCUAACUAAGCCUAUCAACUAUGAGUUACAAGAUUCCUAUCUAUAAUUCUCUUGGAACUUGAUCUUGAGUCUUAGUUGAUUUUGCUGUAGACUUCAACCUGAAUCUUGAUGCUCACUGGUUAUGAGAGCCUAUUUCUUCACGCAACAUUGGGCCGAGGUAGCUUGUGACUCAGAUUCUGAGUAAUCCGCAUUCCUGCUUUCCUCACAUUCGAGUUCAUUUUUUUUUAUUUUCUUUAUUUGAAUUGGGACUCAUUUCAUCAGUCAUCUCGCGCUUUGUGUCCUGUGGUGAAACCAGUUUUAAAAUAUCAAAACAAACAAAAGAACAAAAUUUUCUGCCCCAGUUUUACUAGGUAAAUUUAGUGAGUCAAUUGUGACACAUACGACAAUCAAACUAGAAGAGGCUCUUCGAUUUUGUCCAAGAGAUUCUCGGUUUUAAAAACAGAUUUUGAAAAGUAAACGCUCUGCGGUUUUCUGGCCGGUAUAUUUGCAAAUGAAAAAGCUCUAAGGUUUUCUGGCUGGGAUGUUUUGCAAAUGAAAAUGCUCCACGGUGUUUUGGCCAGGAUAUUUUGCAAAUGAAAAAGCUCCACGAUUUUCUGGUCGGGAGAUCCUCGAUUUUCUGGCCGGGAUAUUUUGCCAAUAAAAAAGCUCCACGGUUUUCUGGCCGGGAAAUCCUCGAUUUUCUGGCUGGAUAUGCUGCAAAUUAAAAAGCUCCACAUUUUUCUCGACGGGAGAUCCUCGGUUUUCUGGCUGGGAUAUUUUGCAAAUGAAAAAGCUCCACGGUUUUCUGGCGGGGAGAUCCUCGAUUUUCUGGCCAGAAUAUUUUGCAAAUGAAAAAGCUCCACGGUUUUCUGGCCGGGAGAUCUUCGAUUUUUCUGGCUGGGAUAUUUUGCUAAUGAAAAAGCUCCAUGGUUUUUUGGCCGGGAGAUCCUCGGUUUUUGGCCGGGAUAUUUUGCAAAUGAAAAAGCUCCACGAUUUUCUCACCGGGAGAUCCUCGGUUUUCUGGGCGGGAUAUUCUGCAAAUGAAAACGCUCCACGGUUUUCUGGACGGGAGAUCCUCGAUUUUCUGGCCAGGAUUUUUGCAAAUGAAAAAGCUCCACGGUUUUCUCGCCGGGAGAUCCUUGGUUUUCUGGCCGGGAUUUUUGCAAAUGAAAAAGUUGAGCUACCAUGAUUUGAUUCUCUUUUGUGGGAUUUUCACUUCCCAUUUCUUUCCUUCUUCCUUUUGGGUUUCUUUUUAGAGGUUAUUUCUUUUAUUUAUCAGAAUGCAUGAAAGACUGUUUGAGAAAACUUCCUUUUUGUUGUUUCUCCUGCUACAACGCAAUGUCGACGCUUGUGCAUUUCAUUUCUUUUGGGCUGCACCUGCUUCUUUUACAACUGUUUUGAAUAAGGCCUGUUGUCAACAAAGAACGGUUUGUUAGUUGAAACAGUGGUUGGUUUUGUGGCCUUGAUCAUCUUCAUCGCCUGAUCCCCGCCCCAUUUCUAUUGAGAACUUUGCUGCUUGUUAGCCUUGAGGGUGAAUCUUUUUCACACUUACCAGGUUCAUUCGUUGGAUUUCAUGAUGAUUCGCCCAUGUGGGCUAUGGUUUUCCACCUCAUUUUGCUUUCCAGACAUUUGCUUUUGGCUUUGUUUCUUUUCUAUUGUCUUUCACUUUGGAGGCAAUCAAUCACCAUGGUCAGUCGGGGUUGGACUGGCGCACCACUAAGGCUGAGAAUUUUCUUUGACCCUUGCCGGGCGGAGCCCUAUGAAACCGGUCCUGCCACCUUUUCUUUGUAAUUACUACGGAAUCAGAGUUAAAUUGAAAGGGAUUCAAAGAAAAGUAUGCAAAAAGGAAAGUAAAUGAGUUUAAAGAGAAGCGUCCCUUUCGGGGUAAAAGAAGGACUUAUCUGGGGUGCAUGUUGGCUCAAAAGAACAUGACAUGCUCCUUGGACUGGACACCUAAACCGCAUUAGCUUCCGACUUCUCAUGAACCCAUUGACCCAUAUUUCCAAACUUGGAAACCUUGCCAGGAAUUUAAGUGAUAAAGUAUCCUAUUUUUGACCGACAAUGCCCUUUGCGGGUUUUCACCCAUUCCACCUCUCUCAUUUCUCUUCUCACUGUCGCCUGAUAGUGCUCUUUGCUAGUUUUCACUAAGCAGACUUUCUCAUUUUUUGUUUUCUCUACUCAUCGUUGCCUUAUGGUGCCUGAAGGUUUUUGCCGAUAAGACUCUCUCAUUUUAUUUCUCUUAAUUUGAAUUGUAUCAAAUUCUAACCAUGACGUUUCCCACUUUCCUGUCUUUUCCAAUUGAUCAGAAGUACUUGGACAAGGUCUUUAGGAUAAAAGGAUUUUGGGGCGGAACUACAACUUUGGAACCAUUUCGGCGGUCUCAUGGCCGAACCAUUAUAUCAUCUGCCCCAGUUUCACUUUUGGGAAAAUUGGGAUUUUUAUUUUGGUGUGACUGAACCUCAAGGAGAGGCUGCCUACGUAUCCUUUCAGAAUCAAGUCAGACGUAGCUCAGAGAAAUAUUCUUGUUUUUGUUUUUGUUUCGUCUUUUCUUUUCUUAUCUUUUCUUUUUUUUUUUUGCUUUUUUUCACUUUCUUUUCUUUUUAGUUUCUUUUCCUUUUUUUUCUUUUCUUUCCCUUUUCCUUCUUUCUUUUAGUAGCACUUCCGGGUUCCAAAGAGGCUAAUCAAACAAAGGUAAUUGACUCAAACGGUUUACGAGGGAUUAAAAAGCCUUCUUCGUUUCAAUUGCACAAAGAUAUCCUCAAAGCAAGUUUAGACAUAGUACCUUUUAACUGAAUCAAAAUUCACCACUACUUCGGGAUCGUUCCCUUCUAUUUCAUCUAGGUAUAACGCUCCUCUUGGCAGUAUUUUCCUGAUGAUGUACGGACCUUUCAAGUUAGGGGAAAAUUUGCCUUUGGCUUCCUGAUGAUGAGGAAGAAUGCAUCUUAACACUAAUUGCCCCACUUCAAGAUUCCUAGGCUGUACUUUCUUAUUAUUGGCGCGGGCCAUUCUUUGUUGAUAUAACUGCCCAUGAAAAAUUGCAGCCAUCCAUUUAUCAUUGAUUAAAGUCAACUGUUCCAAUCGAGUUUUAACCCACUCACUAUUUUCAAUUUCUGCUUCAACUAUUGUCCGGAGCGAAGAAAUUUCCACUUCUUUCGGGAUCACAGCCUCAGUUCCAUAAACUAACAAAUAUGGAGUUUCUUCCACCGAUGUGCGCGCCAUAGUGCGAUAUCCCAACAAGGCAAAAGGUAAUUCUUCAUGCCACUGCCUAGAGCUUUGGAUUGUCUUUCUCAAAAUCUUUUGAUGUUUUUGUUCCCUGCUUCAACAGUUCCAUUGGCUUUGGGCCUAUAAGGAGUGGAAUUUCUGUGCAUUAUUUUGAACUGCUCGCACACUUCUUCCAUCAAAUGACUGUUCAAAUUUGCAGCAUUGUCCAUGAUAAUGGUUGCUGGCAUAUCGAAACGGCAUAUAAUACUCGAGUGCACAAUAUCCACUACAACCUUUUUAGUGUCUGAUUUGGGAGUGAUAGCCUCAACCCACUUUGUAAAAUAAUUAAUAGCUACCAAUAUGAACCUGUGCCCAUUUGAGGCUUUUGGCUUGAUCAGUCCAAUGACAUCCAUACCCCAUGCGACAAAAGGCCAAGGUGCUGACAUGGGACAUAGUUCUGUUGGACGUGCAUGAAUCGGAUCUCCAUGCACCUGACAUUGAUGGCAUUUCUGGACAAAACUGAAGCUAUCUUUCUCCAUGGUUAUCCAAUAAUACCCAGCUCGGAGUAUCUUCUUUGCCAACACAUACCCUUUCAUGUGAGGUCCGCACACCCCGGCAUGCACUACAUGAAUCAGACCUCCAUGCACCUGACAUUGACGGCAUAUCCAGACAAAAUUGAAGAAAUAUUUCUCCAUGUUUAUCCAAUAAUAUCCCGCUCGGAGUAUCUUCUUAGACAACACAUACCCGUUCAUAUGAGGUCCGCACACCCCUGCAUGCACUUCAUGCAUGAUUCUUCCAGCUUACUCAGUUUCAACGCAUCUUAAUAAAUUGAGAUCUGGAGUCCUUUUGUACAUGAUUUCACCAUUAGAAAGAAACCACUCUCUUGUCGCCUAAUGGUUCUCUUUUGAUCCCCUGUGGCAUGUUCGGGAUAUUCUUGUGUUUUCAAGAAUCUUUUAAUAUCAUGAUACCAUGGCCGAACGCUUGCCCCUGCUUCAAUUGCAUUACAAUAAACAUGUCUCUCCCUGACUUUGAUUUCCAAGGGAUCAAUGUAGGCAUUUCCCGGAUAAGGCAGCAUCGGGGCUAGAGUAGCAAGUGCAUCAGUUAAUUCAUUAUGACACCGUGGGAUGUAUCUGAGUUCUAUCGAUUUGAAAUGCUUGCAGAGAUCUUCUACAUGUUGUCGGUAAGGAAUGAGCUUGACAUCUCGGGUUUCCCAUUCUCCCUGAGCUUGCCGAAUACUCAAAUCAGAAUCCCCCAUGAUUAGUUAUUCUUCCACAUCUUGAUCAAUCGCCAUAUUCAUGCCCAUGAUCAGCAGUAUUGUUUGAAUAUAAAACCAAAGCCUUGCGGUAGCUGGGUAAUGCUGGCCAGUUGGCGAAAUUAUUGCCCCAGUUCCUACACCCUGGGCGUUCACCACUCCAUCAAAGAACAUUUUUCAGGCAUGAGUAUCUUCGAUAAUCCCUUCUAUUGUGUUUACCUCUUCAUCCGGGAAGUAAGUGCUCAACAGCUGGUAUUCUUCAUCAACCGGAUUUUCAGCCAAAUGAUCUGCUAGUGCCUGGGCUUUCAUUGCCGUGUGAGUGACGCAAACUAUAUCAAAUUCAGUAAGAAAGAUGUGCCACUUCGCCAAUCUCCCAGUAGGCAUGGGUUUCUGAAAUAUGUACUUCAAAGGAUCCAACCUGGUUAUGAGGUAAGUAGCGUGAGCUUGAAGAUAGUGUCUCAGCUUUUGAGCUACCCAUGUCAAAUCGCAGCACGUUCUUUCUAACAAAGUGUACUUGACCUUCUAACCGGUGAAUUUAUUACUCAGAUAAUAGAUCGCUUGCUCUUUCUUUCUAGUCACAUCAUGUUGCCCAAGAAUACAACCAACUGAGUUUUCCAAAAUCGUCAGAUACAGAAGAGGGGUCUAUCUGGCUUUGGUGGGACCAGAACGGGAUAGUUUGAUAGAUAUUCUUUGAUUUUGUCAAAAGCCUCUUGACACUCAGCUGUCCUUUUGACUGCCGCAUCUUUCUUUAACAAUUUGAAUAUUGGCUCACAUGUGGUUGUCUGUUGAGCGAUAAACCGACUGAUAUAGUUCAACCUUCCCAAAAGACUCAUCACAUCUUUCUUUGUUUUUGGAGGAGGUAUAUCUCGGAUGGACUUUAUUUUUGUAGGGUCUAACACGAUACCUCUCGUGCUGACAACAAAACCAAUAAGUUUGUCGGAUGGGACCCAGAAUGCACAUUUAGCCGGAUUCAGCUUCAGAUCAUAUUUCCGCAGCCUUUCAUUAAACUUCCUCAAAUCUCGAACAUGAUCAGCUGGAGUUUUAGACUUAAUAAUCACGUCAUCCACAUACACCUGUAUCUUUUGAUGCAUGAUAUCAUGAAAAAUAGUGGUCAUGGCUCUCAUAUAAGUUUCCCCAGCGUUUUUCAAACCAAAUGGCAUAACUCGGUAACAGUAGGUACCCCAGGGUGUAGUGAAAGCUGUUUUCUCGGCAUCUUCUUCAUCCAACACUUGGUGAUAUCCUGCGUAACAAUCCACGAAUGACUGUAUCUCGUGUUUGGUGCAAUUGUCAACAAGGAUGUGGAUGUUGGGCAAAGGGAAGUUAUCCUUGGGACUCGCUCGGUUCAAAUCUCGAUAAUCAACACAAACCCAAAUAUUCCCAUCUUUCUUGGGUACAGGAACUACAUUGGCCAACCACGUAGUAUACCGAACCACCCAGAUUACCCCUACCUUCAACUGCUUUGUGAUUUCUUCUUUGAUCUUGCCACUGAUGUCAGUUUUAAAUUUCCUCUGUUUCUGUUGAACAGGAGGGCAUUCAGGGUGUAUUGGCAGUUUAUGUACCACUAGAUCAACACUCAAUUCUAGCAUGUAAUCGUAUGACCAAGCAAACACAUCUUUGAACUCGAACAUAAGUUGAAUUAUUUCAUCUCGCGUUUUCUGGUCAGUGUGAAUGCUUAUUUUUGUUUCCUGAAUUUCUUCUGAGGUUCCCAAAUUAACGGUUCUGUAUCAUUCAAGUUCGUCUUAGGUUUAUUCUUAAAUUGUUCCAAUUCUCGAUUUAUUUCCCUAAAAGCCUCUUCUUCAUCAUAUUCCGGUUCUUGGUUCAUUAUUUCACAAUUAGACAAUGUGUUUGGAUUCGAGCAUGAUGUCCGCAGGCUUGUCAUGUUAUUUAAAGCCGUAUUAUUAUGACUGAAAAGAAAAGAAAAAAAGAGAAAAUAAUAGGAAUCAGAAAGAAUACAAGAAUAACGAUGAAAUAUUGAUCUUAUUUCUUGGAAUUUGAGAAGAUAGCAGGGCUAUAUUGGGAAAUUAAAGACAAAAUAAAGAAAACAUCCGAGUUACACCUUGAAAUGACUCGUGAUGAAUAAAGGUGGCAGGACAAAUCUACUAGGACUCCAGCCUUACUGGAAACGGCGUAGCCUUCCAAUUAUGCAAUUUAGCAUAUGGGACUAUAUACAACACUUCAGCGGUACUAGUAGCCUCUCCCAACUGAACCAUAUUGGUGUGAUAAAGAAUUCGCCUCACAACCCCACUUAUAUCUUCGAUCUCUUCAGCUGUGAAGGUUUCAUCAUCCUCUUCUUCAUUAUAUCUUGUCUUGACAAAAGUAUGAUAUAGAUGCGGCAAUGGAUACGGCAAGACCGAUCAUUCCCUUUUCCUCUCAUCUGCCCAAUUUUCAUCUUCUGUUGUAGGGCAGAAACCUACUCCAAAGAACUUGUCGGUUGUUGGCAGAGUUAUUGAUUACGGUAUUCCUUGAAAAGACUUUCCCAACCUCUUCCCUACCUGGAAGCCGGGCUUGAUCAUUUCAAUUGCCACCAUAAUCGAGGCGUUAGACAAGAAGGGUUGAGGGCAAGGGCUCCCCUCCUCAUAUUGAUCUGCCAAUACAAUCUCAAAGGCUUGAUAUACAAUGUGCUCACUUCCUUCUCUAGCCUCUAGACAUGGGACAGAUGGGUCCCGAUAGAUAGACUGUUCAUCCUCUCCAAUGAACCACAAUUUCUUGAUCUUCGUAUUCAAACUUCACCAUCUGGUGGAGAGUAGAGGCUACUGCCCCCACGGCGUGGAUCGAAGGCCUUCCGAGGAGAAAGUUGUAAGAGGUGUCCAUAUCCAGGACUUGGAAUGUAACUUCAAAUUCCACGGGGCCUAUUACCAAUAUCAAGUCGAUUUCUCCAAUUGUCUCUCUCUUGAUCCCAUCGAAAGCUCUGACACAGACAUAGUUAGGGCGAAUCCUUCAUGUGCAAAUUUCCAUCCUCUCGAGCGUAGAAAGCCGGCAAAUGUCCACACCCGAGCCCCCAUCCACCAUUACUCUCUUAGAUAAAUACAUUCACACUUGACAGUCAGGUGUAAAGCUUUGUUGUGAGCCGCCCCUUCUAGAGGCAAAUCGUUCUUACUAAAGGAGAUUUGAUUAAGAGCAAAGAAACUUUCGGACAUUCUUUCAAGCUGUUCUACUGAUGUCCCAGCGGGCACGUACGCCUCAUUCAAAAUUAUCACUGAGAUAUCCCGAUGCUCAGCAGAUUUCAUUAGCAAUGACAACAUGGACACUUGUUCGGAACACCUACGCAAUUGAUCUACCACUUAGUAAUCAGACAUUUUCAUCUUCUGGAAAAAGGCUUCCGCUUCUUUAGCACUGACGGACUUCUUGAGCGGAAAAUGCUUUCGUGUGGCACUGUUUACCUCUUGGAUGUCUGAAUAUUUCUUCGCGGAGGUGUCCCCUAUUAAUUCCCCAGUAAUUUCCUUGCCUUUGUGUGUGACCACAGUUGGUUGAUAAUUCCAUGGUACAACAGACGGAUCUGUCAUUGGCUUUUGUGGUCCGCGUCCGAUAACCACCGGCUCGUUCGGUCAAGAUGGUUUGAUCGUCUCCCGAACAACAUAGGCUCUUUGGGUACAUACAUUGGCAUCCCCUUUUUCAUUUCAAACUCCUUUGGCUUGCUUAUGGCUAAUGGCUUUUCUGGGCGUCCUCGUGGGAGAUAAAUGACUCCAAUUUUUUGAGGCACUGUUUUCUCUGCCUUAGUUUCCAUCUUCUUUCAAUCCUAGCCUUGAUAGUUUCAUUCUUCUCUCCCCUUUUUUCUUGUUUUGGGGUUGCUUCUCGCUUUCUUUCUAUAUCAGCAAUGGCGAUUAUGGCUUUUAAAGCAGGAUCGAAUUCCUUGUCUUCACAAAUCAUUUUGAUUGUCGGCCCGUUGUUAUGAGCAGGUAUGGAUUAUUGGUCACAUUCAGAGUUUCCUCAUCCGUGAGCACUAUUCUUCCCUGGCUAAUCAAUUCUUGCACAACUUUCUUCAAAGUUCAGCGAUUAUCGGUGCUAUGCCCUCAACUCCAGAAUGAUAAGCACAAUACACGCCUCGUUGGUAAGCUGGAGAAUCCAGAUUCUGCCUAUUUUGGGGAAUGGGCUGCAAUAGAUUCAUCUGUAUCAGUUUAGGGAAAAGGGUGGAAUAUGGUUUCCCAAUUGGUGUGAAGUUUGACUUAGGUGGUUCACGAGGGCGAGGGUUAUUCUGUGGUGGUCGGGGGUUAUAGUGGUUUUGGUAAGGAUGUUGAUUUCUCUGGAAUGGAGGUGGGUUUCGGUUGACUGGUGGUUGUGGUCGGUUAAAAGGCUGAGCAUUCAUGACUGUAUAAGGUGGGGUGGAGGAGCAUAGGCCAUAUCAUUGUGCGGGUAGUAAUGUUGAGGAGUCCUUUCCGAGAAAACCGAUCUAGGAGCUCUGUACCUUCUGCCUUCAGACAUUGCUAUAACUCUUUCUUCUUUCUUUUUGCGUUUGGCCAUUCCUCCUGACCCGCCUUAGAUGGCUUGUGGAGGAUCAUUGGCCAUAUCAUUGUAUGGAUAGUAAUGUUGAGGAGUCCUUUCCGAGAAUACCGAUAUAGGAGCCCUGUACCUUCUGCCUUCAGACAUUGCCAUAACUAUUUCUUCUUUCUUUUUGCCUUUAGCCAUUCGUCCAGACCCGCCUUGGAUGGCUUGGGAGGUUGCCCUUAUGGCUCCCUGAUUUAAUAUCCUUCCUGUUUUCAAGUCGCUUUCAACCAUUUCGCCGAUUUUGAUAGCCUCUGCAAAAGGUUUGCCCAUGGCUGACGUCAUAUUUUGGAAAUAAUCAGGUUCCUAAGCUUGGAGAAAAACAGUGACAAUCUCCAUUUCAUCCAUGGAAGAUUUUACCCUCGAGGCUUGCUCGCGCCACUUAAUGGCAUACUCCCUGAAGUUUUCUGAGGACUUUUUCUUUAAAUUUGACAAAGAAUUCCGGUCCGGCGCGAUGUCAACAUUGUACUGAAACUGCUUUUCAAAGUCUCGGGCUAAAUCGUCCCAAAUGUGCCACCGAGACAGAUCUUGAUCCAUGUACCAUUUUGAAGAAACACCAAUCAAGCAUUCCCUAAAGCAAGCCAUCAACACCUCUUCUUUUCCGCCGGACCCUCGCAGUUGAUUGCAAUUCUUUUUAUGAUGAGCUAUGGGAUAUCCAUGCCCAUCGUAUUUCUCAAACAUUGGUGUUUUGAAUCCCAUAGGCAAGCGCACAUGUGGGAACAUGCACAGAUCAGUAUAAGCAACACUCUUUUGCCCGCUUAAACCCUGCAUAUUUCUUAGGUUCUUCUCCAGGCUCCUCAUCUUCCUUGCCAUUUCAUCGGGUUCAGGAGUGAUGGAAGUUUUAUAUUGCCCUGGUGUGAGCUCAUAAGGUGGUGGCUGAGGGUAAGUAUAUGUAGGGUACUGCAGCAAUUCUGGCUGAUAAGUCGGGAUGGGGUAAGUAUAUGUUGAUGGGUUGAACACGGGCUUUGGAAUUAUUAGCGGUGUCGUAAUAGUAGAUGCCAGAGCAGUGAAAAUAUGUGGGGUGAUUCCGCCCAUGAAUGCAUGUGGACUGAGAUCUGAAGUGCCUCCUACAUAGUGAGCAAAUAUUGUAGGUUGUCCUAAUGGGAUAUUUGGGUGGCUGAUUGGAACACUUGAAGCCCCAGCCGGCCUUGUGAGCAUCUCGGGGAAUUUGGGGAUAGUAUCCGGGGGUUGCUUCACGUUUGUCCAUGCGUCCCACAUCUCCAUCAUUCUUAGAUGCAAAAUUCUAUUUUCUUCAGCUACAGAAGAUUCUGAGGCCAGGACACCCGAGGACGGGCUGUCAUCUAGAAUAGGGAUCGUUAGCAGAGUCAUUUCUGAAGAAAUCUCUAUGCUACCUUUGGAUCUGGUGAAGUAAUGAUGCGAAGCCAGAUUACCACAAACCUGGGCUGUCAUCUGGAAUAGUGACCGUUGGCAGAGUCAUUUCUGAAGACAUCUCUAUGCUACCUUCAGAUAUGGUGAAGUAAGGAUGCAAAGCCAGCUUACCACAAACCAACCACCUGUUUCUUAUAAACCUGACUCUGGUGAAAAGGAAGUAUCCAACGGUUAGUAUUGGGAAAAACAUAGACAAAUAAUCACAUCAAUGGCUGUAUGCGUCAUCCCGAAUUUUCUAUUUCCUUGCUUGUUUCACUCUUUUAUUUAUUCAAAUUUCAUGUUUUCCUUUUUUUCUAUUUUGGUUUUCUCUUUUCUAUCUUAUUUCUCUACCGUUUCUCUUUUCUUUGUUACGGUCGAAUCCUAUAGGGAUUGCCUACGUAUCAUGACCCCGCACGAAUCAGACCAAGCGUAGUUCGUAAAAUUAAAUGCGAAAAUAAAAUGAAAACCAUUUUUGGGAAUUUUCAAUAUUUCAUUAAUAACACAAACUAUUACAUACUAACACUUUGCAAAAGGAAAGACGCCUACUAAGACCAACUACAAACUCCAAAACUACAGAAUCAAUUUGAUAAGAAAAACGAUGGACAAACAGACUCAAAAUAGGAAAAUACAGACACUAACUACAUAUUCUAAUGCUUCAAAUCUCGGUGUCCGCGAGGCUUCGUUUGGCCUCACCGCGGACCUAGGUGCCAAAUCCCUUUCCAGUUGCUCCAAAUCAUUCAUAGUUCUUUUCACAUAUAUCAUUACUGCCUGGACGAAAGUAGACAGGGUCAUGUCUUUGCAUGCCUGGCAUCUCUUAAAAUGGCAUGACCAAUGGCCCUUAUCCUGUUCCUCGUUUUACUGCCUAGAUGAAAGCAGAGAGGGUCAUGUCUUUGCAUUCCUGGCAUCUACUAAAAAUGGCGUGACCAAUGGCCCUUAUCCUGUUCCUCGUUUACCUUUUCUCCAUAAUCAAGCGCUUUAUCUGGUCACUGCAUGUUUUCACUGCUUGAAAAUCUUGGAGGUGUUGAUAUUGCAACUGCUGCACCUCUACUUCCAUUUGGGCUAGCAAGUCAUAACAAUGCCUGCUCUCAAUUUCAAAACUUCUAGCAUGUUUUACCACUUUAUUUUCAAGGGCCACCACUUUUUCUUGCAAGUUAGCCACAACUUUUGCGUGAUCCUUUUUCUGUUGCUGGAGGUAUUGACGCCGCACUUCGGAUCUUUUAUCCCAUUGUGCCUUGAGUUCUGCUAUGAUUUUCUCCGAUCUUUCAACCUCGUCUCGACACUCAUUAAUCUCAUUUUUCAAACCUUUUAUGAGUCUUUCAUCUGAUACACUCCUUCGUUGACUCUUGGUGGCUACCUUCAUUUGCUGUAUUUGAGCCUUAAGCAUCUCAUUCUCUUGAACCAGUCUAUUCUUUUCACUUUGGUCCGCAGCGACUUGCAUACUGUUUUCAAAUUUUAAACUUUCGACUUGCUGUUUCAGCUUCCCAAUCUCAGCCCGGUAGCCUUCCUCUUUUGCUAACCAAUCCCAUUGCUCUUGUGAUAUUUCGGCAAAAUCUUGGAAGUGGGGUCUUUUAGCCGACCUUUGGUGUUCUAGUUCUCUCUUGUACCACAUGAGGUAAUUUUGUGCCCUUUCACCCCUGACCCGAUCCAACACACAAGUAUCUGCUUGUAAACAUUGACCUUCAUUCCAUACCUGUCAGACUCUCUCUUCAAGAAAUUUUCCAUCUGGGCUAAUCUCAAUCACCUGAGCGCUCAAUUCCUCUUUCGGUGGGAUUAUUUUAUAUCUCCCGAGUUUUUUCAGAACCCGAUAGGGAGCAUAAGGCUGGAUGCUCUUCAACCCCAUCAGAAGGAAAUGUGACCCGACAGCUGAUAUGUAUAUGAUUUCUCCCACAUGAAACCAUCCCAAAGUCCAUUGUGUCUGACUGGCAUUGAGCGUCUGGAAGUACGAUACCCAUACCUCUAUACCUUCAGGCAAACUAAACCCAUCAGUUCUGGUGUAAAAUUCACCAAUACAAGUUUUGUCGGGAGAACCAUAACUCAAAAGCUGGGAACAGUGGCAUAUAUGCAUGAUCAUCCACAUUUGUAACAUCAAAUUACACCCCUCAAAUGACGUUCCCCCGGCUUUACAGGCAGUAAGAGCUCGGAAUAGGUCGGAUAUGAUCAUAGGUGCAAGAGUACUUCCACCUUUGCUAAGCAGAGCACUAACGAUCCCGACCACCUUUGUAUCAAUAUUACUAUCUUUCCUUGGGAACAUUAAGAUGCCCAAAAAGGUAAUAAUGAAGGCCACUCUUUUGUGAUCAUCCCACUUCCACCGGUUAUUUUUACUCCAUAGCUGGAGAUCCAUGUUGUUGAACCCUCCCACAUGGCCGUAUCUAUCAUAUAUGAAUCGCGGAGUGCAGAAACCCUGUGCCAAAUCUGGAUUGUGAGCUGUCCUGGGUAUUUUUAACGUAUCUAAAACCUGUUGCACUGUGAUGGCUCUUGGAGCAAUCAGAUAUUGUUCUUUUAGAGGAAUCUCAUCAUUUUCGAUAUACCAAGCUAUUUCUUCCAACGUUGGAGUUAACUCAAAAUCCGAGAAGUGAAAAACAUUAUGUGCCGGUUCCCCGAAAUUAACCAGAGCUCUGAUGAUAUCACCCCGAGGAUUGAUGUCUAAUAAACCCGUGAGACCCUUCAGAUAUUUCUUUACUUCAUCAUGCCCCUCUUUUCCCAAGUCAUUCCACCAUAAUAUCAACUCGAAAGGGACUUUGGUCAUUAUUGAAAAAGGUUCAUUUUCCAUUGUGCUCAUCCUGUCCCCUCUUUGUCCAAGUUAUUCCACCAUAAUUUCAACUCGAAAGGGGCUUUGGUUAAUAUUGAAAAAGGUUCAUUUUCCAUUGUGCUCAUCCUGCACAUUUAUUAAGGUGAAUAAAAGAAGAAAAACUUAUAUUCAACUCAAAGAAAACAAAACCAUCUAUAUUCUUUUUCAAAAUUAAAGAAAAAUUCGGUUUUCAAAACACGGCCUUCGACUUACACGACUCUUUUUUUUCAAAAAAAUAAACGACCCGUUAUAUUAAACAAGGCCUCUCAUCGCCUCGGGGACGUUGAUUUUAUGGAUGUUUGGGUCAAAAAUUAAAAUAUGACCAAAGGUGGCUGUUUAUGCAAAGUCGGCCUUCCGGCGUCCCGUUUGGAAACUUUCGGCUAUUCUCGCAAAACGGCAUCACCUAACUUAUUUAUGAUACAAAUUAAAAAUUUUGACAUUUUGGGCUAUUUUUGAAGGAAGGAUUGGACCCGAUGAGGGUUGCCUACGUAUCUCAUGCCCUGUGAGAAUCAAACCGGCGUAGUUCGGGCAAAUAAACUAACUAAAAUUUUAAACAAAACAUUUCCCAAACUUUUCUCCAUUUUCUAUUUUUUGAAAUCACAUCAAAAUGACCAUUUUUCUAUUUUUCAAACAAUUUUUCCAAAAUAAAAGUUUUUUUUUCUUUUGCUUUUAAUAAACUACAUAAAAAACAUUUUCUGUUUUUUUCCUUUUCAUUAUUUCCAAAAUAAAAGAUAUUUUUUUUUCUUUGGAUUUUAAUAAAUUACAUAAAAAACAUUUUUUUCUUUUUUUUUUUAAAAUUCCGGCAGAGUUUCAACAGUACUUGGGCAUCGUGUUUUAUUCAAUUUGUUAACUCCCUAACGGCUAUUCCUCUCAUUUUCUCUUGUUUUGAUUUUCUCAAAUUCCGACAUUCCAAAAAUCGGUCAACAUGUAGGUUCAGACAAAUAAAUGCACAGAACAAGUAGGAUGCACCAGGAUGGUCUUUUUAUUUCAGGUUGCUAGCCCUAGACGGACCCAACUCCUGUGUUGAGUCCCUUAAGUCAAAUGCGGCAUGAUGCAAAUAAGCGUUCCUACUAGUGAUCCGGCAUGAAGUCAAGUUAUUCUAUGUUCAAAACCUGGGUCGGUGUUAUAGAUAGUGUACUCGAGCGCAUAACUCGAAUCAAGGAGGGGGCAACUUACCGGUGACCCGCGGGUCAGGCGGCUUAGUAACUUAUCCUGCCUCUUUCUUAUUUCAGGGUAUGACACUAACAGAAUAUGGAG
RNAcentral lists this long non-coding RNA (33727 nucleotides) under Nicotiana benthamiana. RNAcentral describes it as "long non-coding RNA (NBEN_LNC011395)". The record is from RNAcentral. Lineage: Eukaryota; Viridiplantae; Streptophyta; Magnoliopsida; Solanales; Solanaceae.